GACGAACGCUGGCGGUGUGCUUCACACAUGCAAGUCGAACGAGGUAGCAAUACCUAGUGGCGGACGGGUGAGUAACGCGUGGGAAUCUGCCUUUGGAUGGGGGAUAACGGGUCGAAAGACUCGCUAAUACCGCAUAUGACGAAAGUUGAAAGGAGUAAUCCGUCUAAAGAUGAGCCCGCGUCCGAUUAGCUAGUUGGUAGAGUAAAAGCCUACCAAGGCGACGAUCGGUAGCUGGUCUGAGAGGAUGAUCAGCCACAAUGGGACUGAGACACGGCCCAUACUCCUACGGGAGGCAGCAGUGGGGAAUUUUACGCAAUGGGCGAAAGCCUGACGUAGCGACACCGCGUGAGCGAAGAAGCCCCUUGGGGUGUAAAGCUCUGUCAGCUGGAACGAAAAAAAUGACGGUACCAGCAGAGGAAGCAUCGGCUAACUACGUG
Molecule: ribosomal RNA, 437 nt
Filed under: uncultured bacterium
Lineage: Bacteria
Description: bacterial SSU rRNA
Rfam family: Bacterial small subunit ribosomal RNA
Source: RNAcentral